RNAcentral lists this small RNA (29 nucleotides) under Bombyx mori (domestic silkworm). RNAcentral's name for it is "ovarian small RNA-10582". Lineage: Eukaryota; Metazoa; Arthropoda; Insecta; Lepidoptera; Bombycidae. The record is from RNAcentral.
AAGCCGUACACUUGGCGUUGAGGUCCCCC